CGAGCCGGUGCACCCCUUCUGCGCCGAGCUCACUCUCCGCGCAUCCUCGCGUCUCCCCUUAACCCUGCCCCUACUUUCCCCUUACUUUCCUCCAACUCUUCUGUCACCGCCACCCCCCCCCACACGUCGUCCCUCUGCUCCCCGGCUUUGGGCGCCUUUAUAUCCGCGCUAACCCCACGCCUCUCUUCUCCUCUUCUCCUCUUCUCCUCCCCCGGAGCACACCGCCUCCGACGACCUUAAAAGACAUCCGCCGUCAGACUCGGUCCUGCCUCCCGUCCAGGCUGAUUUCGAUCCGCGUCCAGUUCGGUACCCAGGAGCAGCUGUCAUCCAGCCCUUUUUUGAACGGAGACACCCAAUGUCACCGGAGCGACACAACCGGCCGGCGGAGUCUGGGACGGACUUCUGCGCUGACCACCUCCACCUCCCUCCCGAGUGAGGGCCUCCUGGAAUUGCUAGAAGAGCACAGGAUCAAUAAGCCCUUGCACUGGCACCUGCUCUGCGAAGUGAUUAUUGCCUUUGAAUAAAGAAAGCCCCUAGUAAUAAAUCAAAGUAAUGAUUUUCUCCUAUGCAGGCUUCUCUGCGGGCUGAGGGGGUCAACAAGAAAACAGCUACACACCAAAGUCAACAUCCGAGCCCUUCUGUUCUGGCAGGGCACUCCUAGCCACAGAUGUUAACUCCCAGAAUGGCAGCACUUUCUCGUUUUGUAAAACGAGGAAAUUUGGACCCUGGUUCCUAGGAGUUAAUGGUGUAUACAGAUAGUCCGUACACCCGAGGGGUGCUAACUUUGUGCCACUUAAUGCCCUUGGGACUGUGUCAGGGCCGGGAAACCACACCGCAUGAGCUCGGGGAUGGCAGUUCUUGUGUUCUGCUGCUAUGAAAUAUUAAUGAUCAAGAGAUUAUGAGGCUUUCAUUAGAUACUAAAUGUCAUUACUUUGUGAUUUAAUGGGACUUAUUAAUUAGUCCCCCACAUCAAUUGGUAUUAAUGUGAUUUAUACAUUUCCUCGGGAAUGCCAUCUGUAAAGAUAGUAUUGAGGAUCUUUGGGGGGAUUUUCACUGCUGUUUGCGCUCAGCAUCUUCAGAGGGUAUUUUUCCGGUGAAGAGCAUGUAUCUCUUCCGAGUGAUCCAGUUUACAGACAGAGUCCUUAAGCAAACCUUUCAGUCAUGUCAGACCCCAGGCCCAUUUCUGCUGACCUGACAAUGUGAAUUAUUGCUUGGAUUUUCUCACAGCUUCAGCAAGAACUAUGAUAAGCUCUCCUCUAAUUAAGGAAGACAAAGAAUUAUAAUUUUAGUGCUCUUUUCACCUAUAAGCAUUCCCCUUAACAGGAAACACUGGCUCAUGAAAAGGCUUAUCUGGAUUUACAUAAAAAUGAUCAGUCUCAGAAGCUCUGUUUUAUUAUAUUCUAAAAUAUGUGUAAAAUCCAAGAGCUUUAUGUUUGCAUAAAGGAAAUACUGCAC
This 1455-nucleotide long non-coding RNA is filed under the name Chinchilla lanigera (long-tailed chinchilla). RNAcentral describes it as "lncRNA (ENSCLAG00000024649.1)". Lineage: Eukaryota; Metazoa; Chordata; Mammalia; Rodentia; Chinchillidae. The record is from RNAcentral.